UGGGGAAUAUUGCACAAUGGGCGCAAGCCUGAUGCAGCAACGCCGCGUGAACGAUGAAGGUCUUCGGAUCGUAAAGUUCUGUUGCAGGGGAAGAUAACGACGGUACCAUGUGAGGAAGCCCCGGCUAACUACGUGCCAGCAGCCGCGGUAAUACGUAGGGGGCUAGCGUUAUCCGGAUUUACUGGGCGUAAAGGGUGCGUAGGUGGUCUUUCAAGUCGGUGGUUAAAGGCUACGGCUCAACCGUAGUUAGCCUCCGAAACUGGAAGACUUGAGUGCAGGAGAGGAAAGUGGAAUUCCCAGUGUAGCGGUGAAAUGCGUAGAUAUUGGGAGGAACACCAGUAGCGAAGGCGGCUUUCUGGACUGCAACUGACACUGAGGCACGAAAGCGUGGGUAGCAAACAGG
Molecule: ribosomal RNA, 403 nt
Filed under: Verrucomicrobiota bacterium
Lineage: Bacteria; Pseudomonadati; Verrucomicrobiota
Description: Verrucomicrobia bacterium partial 16S ribosomal RNA
Rfam family: Bacterial small subunit ribosomal RNA
Source: RNAcentral